UCACCUUGUCUCGCUGGCGUCUUUGUCUAGGAAUGACACGUCGAUGCCUUCAUCGGACAACAACAGAAGUGAACUGAUCAUGUCUCGUGUCAAGGAUUCGGCUGAUUCGUCUCUCGCCUUGCUCUCACUUGCAGAAUGUUUCCUGUCAGUCACCGAAUCGAGGAUAGAGUCUACCACACGUUGUGCAGCAGGACCGGCAGUUUCAACAAACUUCUGUAAACUAGUAAUUAGAAACCAUUGGUUAGUUGUUGAUAACAAACGGCAGACACGGUGACACAACCAAUGACAUUUGUUUGGAGUAUGAACUGACACAAUGGACAACAAAAGGUCAGAAUCUUCCUUCGACAUAUUGGAUCGAGAAGAAUCAUACAAAGGAGCAAACGACGUAAAAGGUCCAUAGAACAAAUAAGACACUAACAAAGACAGCAUGAAA
Corticium candelabrum is the source of this 433-nucleotide long non-coding RNA. RefSeq lists it as uncharacterized. The transcript has 3 exons. NCBI's taxonomy places the organism in Eukaryota, Metazoa, Porifera, Homoscleromorpha, Homosclerophorida, Plakinidae. The record is from RefSeq and is a predicted model, not a curated record.